RNAcentral lists this ribosomal RNA (253 nucleotides) under uncultured bacterium. RNAcentral describes it as "partial 16S ribosomal RNA". It matches the Rfam family "Bacterial small subunit ribosomal RNA", at positions 524 to 776 of the family's 1533-position model. The record is from RNAcentral.
UACAGAGGGAGCAAGCGUUAUACGGAAUUAUUGGGCGUAAAGAGCGCGUAGGCGGUUCGAUAAGUCUGGUGUGCAAUACCUGGACUUAAUUCAGGAAGUGCAUUGGAUACUGUCGGACUAGAGUACAGGAGAGGAGAGCGGAAUUCCUGGUGUAAAGGUGAAAUUCGUAGAGAUCAGGAGGAACAACAGAGGCGAAGGCGACUCUCUGGACUGUAACUGACGCUGAGGCGCGAAAGCGUGGGGAGCAAACAGG